CUUAUUUUUUUAUUUUUAUUUUUUUAUUUCAUACCUUUUUUAAAACAGUUCACAGCAACAGGGUACUUUAAAUGAAAAUAAUAAUCUUACAAGCGAGCGAAAAAUUUGUUACUUAAAAAUUGACUACCGUGAUAUGUCCUCCGAAUAUGACCUCAAUGACAUUAUAAAAAAAAUAAGAAACACGUACAGUGUCGAUGACGACAAAAAGGAUCUUGAUAUAAAAGAAGACAAUAUGAAUAAUAUGAAAAAAGGCGUGCUUUAUAUGGCUUAUUAUGAAGAUAAUACCUUUUUUGUUAAUAAAUUAGAAAAGUUAAAAAAAAAAAAUAAAUAAAUAAACAUAAAAACAUAAACAUAAAAACAUAUGAACAUACACAUACAUAUAUAUUAACGACAAACGCGAAUUAAUCAAAUCGUAAAAAAAUUUUAUCUGUGUUAUGUAUAUAUAUUAUAUAUAUUAUAUAUAUACAUUAUAUACAUUAUAUACAUUAUAUACAUUAUAUACAUUAUAUAUAUGUAUAUGUCCCCAUUUAAAAGACAUAAUUGUUUUAUAAUCGUGAAUGUUUUUUUUUUUUUUUUUUCCUUUUUUAUUUGCAGAAAAAUAAGUAAAUAUAUGUAAAAGUUGUAUACUUAUAUGGAAAAACUUUUGGACGUGAAAAAAAAAGAAACAAUCAAACUAAUUUCAAAUGAUAUGAAAUUACAUAGAAAGUAUUAUGAAUGUAAAAACGAAUGAAUGACAAAAAGAGGAUAAGCUGUGAUCUAUGCAUUAAAAAAAAAAAAAAAAUAAAAAAAAAAAAAAAAAAAUAGUACGUAUAUAG
RNAcentral lists this long non-coding RNA (815 nucleotides) under Piliocolobus tephrosceles (Ugandan red Colobus). RNAcentral describes it as "lncRNA (ENSPTEG00000018365.1)". The record is from RNAcentral. Lineage: Eukaryota; Metazoa; Chordata; Mammalia; Primates; Cercopithecidae.